CCGCCCCGCCGCGCUGGCGCCGCCCGCCUCCGGAGCCCAGGCCUGGGGCUGGCCGCGCCGUCCGGGAGCCCCGCACCCCACGCCCGGCCGGUGGGGCUGCCCAGGCCGGGCCGAGGGACACGCCCCCUCCCCCGCCAGCCCCGAGGGACGAGUUCCCGCCACGGGGUCUACCGGAGCAGAGCCAGCCGCGCCGCGCCGGGCGCGUCCAGGCCACCAAAUGUUCGCCAUCCAGCCAGGGGUGGCUGAGGGCGGCCAGUUCCUGGGGGACCCGCCGGGAGUAUGUCAGCCGGAGCUCCAACCAGACAGCAACUCUAACUUCAUGGCGAGUGCCAAAGAUGCCAAUGAGAACUGGCAUGGGAUGCCAGGCCACGUGGAGCCCAUCCUGAUGCAGAGCUCCUCUGAGUUGCCCUCUGACAACCAGGUCUUCCAGGCCCCUGGGCUCCCCGAGGGGGAGGUGCGCAGCCCACCAGAGGGGGCAGAAAUCCCCGGAGCUGAGCUUGAGAAAUUGAGUGGUGCCAGCCCAGUGUGCUCCCCGCUGGAGGACAACGGCUACGCCAGCAGCUCCCUGAGCACUGACAGCCCCAGCAGCAGUCCUGAGCCUGCCUGUGGGACCCCUCGAGGCCCGGGCCCUCCAGAUGCCCUUCUGCCCUCGGUGGCCCAGGCUGUGCAGCAGCUGCAGGCUCAGGAGCGCUACAAAGAGCAGGAAAAGGAGAAGCACCACGUGCACUUGGUGAUGUACCGCCGCCUGGCCCUGCUGCAGUGGAUCCGGGGCCUGCAGCAGCAGCUGGUAGACCAGCAGACCCGUCUGCAGGAGAGCUUCGACACCAUCCUGGAUAACCGAAAGGAGCUUAUCCGCUGUCUCCAACAGAGGGCAGCCCCAUCCGGGCCCCAGGAGCAGGGCUAAGGGUGUGCCUCCACAGGGGUGCAGGGGUGUAUGUCCAUAUUUGCAGGCAUGUGUGUGGUUGUGCACAAGGUCCCAUUGCUCCGGAGAGAGGGCUGGCUGCAGUAUUUAUCUGAGGGUUGUGGCUGAUCCAUUCCCCUGAGACUUCCCAGCUACCUCUCCACCCUCUCCCCAUCACCCCUCUCAGACUUCGCUCUGCUAAGGCUGUUGUCCUUGAUGGUGGAUUUGCUGUGGACGAAGUGUGGUGGCUGCUCUGGCCUGCCAUGGCUUUUUGGCUACAGUUUUGCCAGGGCGACUGGUAGAGAAUGAGUCUGAGGGAGGGGAGCUGGGGUUGGUGAUCGACACUGCGGCAGGGAUGGUGGGGGUGGGAUCAGAGAAGAAGAUAAAGUCCCACUUGAACUCUGCCUUGGGGCACAUGGGAGAUGGGGAUGGGGAAGAUGACAGUGGCAGAACCUUGUGAAGAAUAGGAGAAAGGGAAUUCUAAAACAUCACUUGGAAACAAACCAUGCUUCUCCACGGCAAAGGAGCGGUUGCAGACCAUAUUGAUUUAAGCUUCUGAUGAAAGCAGAUGUGCACUUAUACGCUUGCAAGGAAUGGAUGAGGUACUCCAAGACUGCUGGGGAAAAAAAAAAUCUCAGUUUCUUCUCUGUGCCUCUACUUGCUGUCCCUUUCUGGCUUUAGCAACACUGGAUGUUCAAGUAGGUUGGUCUGUUUUCCUGAAAUCAGGCUGUCUAGGCCCAGAGGAGCCAUAGUCGGCUUUCCAGGGUGGGCAGGGGGCAGUGUCAGCCCAGCCUCUGGAAGCUCUCAGGAUGCUGGGUCAUAACCCCUUCCGUCACUGCAUGGUCUUUUCAGUGGGGGUUGACUGGCUCCAGCAGAGGCUCUGUGAAAUGGAGAGUGGGUGAAUUCUGGGGAGAAAUAAGGACUAAGGUAGCCAAGCUCUGUGCUUUGCUUUUGGGAGCCAUGAGGAUGCAAGAUCCUGAUGGGUGAGCAGUGGCAUGACGCUGAGUUUCCCUAUUUGCGAAAUGGGGGUGCUCUUCCUCUCUCUAAAGAGUUCUAUCCCUGACGGUGGGUGAAGGGCAUAUUAGUGAGGUUGAAGCAAUGGUCCUGGGGACUUUUGUGUCUAGCCCUUGCAUGUUGAGUAUGAACCUGGCCUCUGGGCCAAGCCAGGGUGAAUAAACUGGGGCAGAGAAAUACA
Mirounga angustirostris (Northern elephant seal) is the source of this 2096-nucleotide RNA transcript. It is a transcript of the gene named chromosome unknown C1orf216 homolog, with no coding region annotated. Lineage: Eukaryota; Metazoa; Chordata; Mammalia; Carnivora; Phocidae. The record is from RefSeq and is a predicted model, not a curated record. The transcript is spliced from 3 exons.